UACGUAUGGGGCAAGCGUUAUCCGGAAUUAUUGGGCGUAAAGAGUGCGUAGGUGGUUACCUAAACGCAAGGUUUAAUCUUGAGGCUCAACCUCAUUCUGCCUUGCGAACUGGGCUACUUGAGUGCAGGAGGGGAAAGCGGAAUUCCCAGUGUAGCGGUGAAAUGCGUAGAUAUUGGGAAGAACACCGGUGGCGAAGGCGGCUUUCUGGACUGUAACUGACACUGAGGCACGAAAGCGUGGGGAGCAAACAGG
This 252-nucleotide ribosomal RNA is filed under the name uncultured bacterium. RNAcentral's name for it is "partial 16S ribosomal RNA". It matches the Rfam family "Bacterial small subunit ribosomal RNA", at positions 524 to 776 of the family's 1533-position model. The record is from RNAcentral.